Molecule: ribosomal RNA, 155 nt
Filed under: Ranunculus nivalis
Lineage: Eukaryota; Viridiplantae; Streptophyta; Magnoliopsida; Ranunculales; Ranunculaceae
Also listed under: 14 other names
Description: 5.8S ribosomal RNA
Rfam family: 5.8S ribosomal RNA
About the family: 5.8S ribosomal RNA (5.8S rRNA) is a component of the large subunit of the eukaryotic ribosome.
Source: RNAcentral
AACGACUCUCGGCAACGGAUAUCUCGGCUCUUGCAUCGAUGAAGAACGUAGCGAAAUGCGAUACUUGGUGUGAAUUGCAGAAUCCCGUGAACCAUCGAGUUUUUGAACGCAAGUUGCGCCCGAUGCCAUUAGGUUGAGGGCACGUCUGCCUGGGC